UACAGAGGUGGCGAGCGUUGUUCGGAUUUACUGGGCGUAAAGGGUGCGUAGGCGGUUCUGCGUGUCGGAUGUGAAAUCCCACGGAUCAUCCGUGGAACUGCAUUCGAAACUGCAGGGCUGGAGUGUCGGAGAGGAGGGCGGAACUCUUGGUGUAGCGGUGAAAUGCGUUGAUAUCAAGAAGAACGCCGGUGGCGAAGGCGGCCCUCUGGACGACAACUGACGCUGAGGCACGAAAGCUAGGGGAGCAAACAGG
This 253-nucleotide ribosomal RNA is filed under the name uncultured bacterium. RNAcentral describes it as "partial 16S ribosomal RNA". It matches the Rfam family "Bacterial small subunit ribosomal RNA", at positions 524 to 776 of the family's 1533-position model. The record is from RNAcentral.